CACCGCCCGUCACAUCACGAAAAGUGGGUUGUACUAGAAGUCGCCAAGCUAACCGCAAGGAAGCAAGCGCCCAAGGUAUGACUCAUGAUUGGGGUG
Molecule: ribosomal RNA, 96 nt
Filed under: uncultured bacterium
Lineage: Bacteria
Description: partial 16S ribosomal RNA
Rfam family: Bacterial small subunit ribosomal RNA
Source: RNAcentral